CUGUGGACCUGGAGGGAUUUUCAGGUCUCCAUAGUGGGGGGUGGGGGGUGGGGAGAGAAGAAGGAGAAGAUUUCUUCCUUGGGGAUCUGAAACUGAAAUUCAGUGGAGAUGGAUUGCUGCUCUUUCUGUGAGGAAGCUGGGGGCAGCUGAAGAAUUCCUUGAUGUUGGGGAUUGCUUACACAAGAAGAAAGACCCUGGGACUGGAGGGGGAAGGCAGUCUGGCUGCUGGCCACCUCGUUGAGAGUUGGACAUCAAUGGACUGGCUCUUGGAACAAUCCAGAAGGAAUAAAAGGACUCAAAAAUAGCCAGUGGGGAUGGAGAAGUCCAACCCUAGCCAACUACCCCUGAGUAAGAGUUAAAAAAAAAUAAUAAAGUAACUGUUUAAGUGGACA
Molecule: long non-coding RNA, 392 nt
Filed under: Phascolarctos cinereus (koala)
Lineage: Eukaryota; Metazoa; Chordata; Mammalia; Diprotodontia; Phascolarctidae
Description: lncRNA (ENSPCIG00000035454.1)
Source: RNAcentral